CCUACGGGCGGCAGCAGUGGGGAAUAUUGGACAAUGGGCGAAAGCCUGAUCCAGCCAUGCCGCGUGUGUGAAGAAGGCCUUCGGGUUGUAAAGCACUUUCAGUGGGGAAGAAAGCCUUGGGGCUAAUACCCUCGAGGUAGGACAUCACCCACAGAAGAAGCACCGGCUAACUCCGUGCCAGCAGCCGCGGUAAUACGGAGGGUGCGAGCGUUAAUCGGAAUUACUGGGCGUAAAGCGCGCGUAGGCGGUCUGAUAAGCCGGUUGUGAAAGCCCCGGGCUCAACCUGGGAACGGCAUCCGGAACUGUCAGGCUAGAGUGCAGGAGAGGAAGGUAGAAUUCCCGGUGUAGCGGUGAAAUGCGUAGAGAUCGGGAGGAAUACCAGUGGCGAAGGCGGCCUUCUGGACUGACACUGACGCUGAGGUGCGAAAGCGUGGGUAGCAAACAGGAUUAGAUACCCGAGUAGUC
Molecule: ribosomal RNA, 465 nt
Filed under: Vreelandella stevensii
Lineage: Bacteria; Pseudomonadati; Pseudomonadota; Gammaproteobacteria; Oceanospirillales; Halomonadaceae
Description: partial 16S ribosomal RNA
Rfam family: Bacterial small subunit ribosomal RNA
Source: RNAcentral